Molecule: long non-coding RNA, 1368 nt
Filed under: Sus scrofa (pig)
Lineage: Eukaryota; Metazoa; Chordata; Mammalia; Artiodactyla; Suidae
Description: lncRNA (ENSSSCG00045023767.1)
Source: RNAcentral
UGUGCCUGUGGCAUGCAAAAGUUCCCCGGCCAGGGAUCAAAUCCAUACCACAGCAGCUACCAGAUCUGCUACAGUGACAACGCUGGAUCCUUAACCGGUUGCACCACAAGGGAACUCUUGCUUCAGUUUCUUUGAUUACGCUUUCUUUGAGUGGAUUUUUUCAAAUGGGGUUCAUAUGAAUUGCCAAUUUUUAAGUUAUUAAAAUGCAGAAGCUUAUAUUAACAGUAAAUUGAUUAACUGUUCUUUCAUGAUAUAUUCUAUAGAGUUUUCAGUAGGUUGCUUUUAAUUCACUAUGAGGAAUUUAGAUUAUCAAUGAAUUAUAGACACAGGAGAUUUGAAGAUCAGCUUUUGAGGCUAGAGUUUUGGGCAGAGGCCAGGAUAAUUAAGCUGCCAGCUACAAAGUACUACAGCAAGUGCCAGAAACACUACUUAUUUUUUUGUAUGGGAAAAUAUUUUUGCCAAAUGAAAUCUUUGGGGUUUUUAUAGUUCUUUCCCAUAUGUCUCUAUGAAAAUGUUAUUUUUCAUAUCUCACUUCUGAAUGGGGCUGUCAGGAUAACAAGUAUCAACUGCUUUCCAGGUCUGGAAAAUUGAUCCAGUUAAACAAUUUAAGAAUGAGGAAUAUCUUGAGGGAAUCCUAUGAGUUAUAUCUUGAGGAUAUGAACAGCGCGGAUUAAUAUAAGUGCAGGUGUUCAGCCUCCAGUCUAUAGUAGGCACUCCAGGUCUGCUUCUGCAUAGACAGGUCCCAGAUGAACAUUUUUGAAAUGGCAUCAGCACCUUCUAGGAAAAAUAAUUGGGAAAAUAUUUAACAACCAGUCAUGUUAAAACUGAUUUGGAAAUGCCAUUUUCACGCUUAGUCAUCCCUACCCCAGGGUCAAAGCAGGAAUAAAAAAAGAGCGGGAGGUUUGUUAACUAUAAUAUCGUGAAAUUCCAAACAAUUAGAAUUGAAUAUGGUCUGGGGAGGAAUUAGAGUUCUGAUCUGAUAGGUACGACUCCCUGUUUUUGCUAAGACUGACAGAAACAUUUUCCUGUUCUUACAUUGUCAUCCUGUGGGCUAGCAGAGACUCUGAGAGAUUGAAAUGUUGGAAUAGGCCUGAGUUUCUGAGAAAUAUUAUGAAACUUUUAAUAAAUGAAAAUUCCUGGAAGUUAUAUAAUUGGACUUUGUAAUUUGAUAGGAAAUAUCCUCAAGGGAUUCAGGCUUGCAAAAUGAUAAUGUUUUAAAGGAAAAUUGAUGGCACUUAACUGCAAACAGUUAUAACUGUUUUGAGUUCAUAUCUCCCAUGUUUGAGACACUAUACUACAUCACUUUCUUCUGACUAAGGAGUUUGGGGUAUUAUGCAGAUAGAAAACUAUUUCCCUCAUGAUAUUUGU